This 497-nucleotide ribosomal RNA is filed under the name uncultured bacterium. RNAcentral's name for it is "bacterial SSU rRNA". It matches the Rfam family "Bacterial small subunit ribosomal RNA", at positions 903 to 1397 of the family's 1533-position model. The record is from RNAcentral.
AAAUGAAUAGACGGGGGCCCGCACAAGCGGUGGAGCAUGUGGUUUAAUUCGACGCAACGCGAAGAACCUUACCAGGUCUUGACAUCCCCUGACGUGUACAGAGAUGUGCAUUUUCAUCUUCGGAUGGACAGGGAGACAGGUGGUGCAUGGUUGUCGUCAGCUCGUGUCGUGAGAUGUUGGGUUAAGUCCCGCAACGAGCGCAACCCUUAUUGUUAGUUGCCAUCAUUAAGUUGGGCACUCUAAUGAGACUGCCGGUGACAAACCGGAGGAAGGUGGGGAUGACGUCAAAUCAUCAUGCCCUUUAUGACCUGGGCUACACACGUGCUACAAUGGCCUGUACAAAGGGUAGCCAAGUCGUGAGGUGGAGCCAAUCCCACAAAGCAGGUCUCAGUUCGGAUUGCAGGCUGCAACUCGCCUGCAUGAAGUCGGAAUCGCUAGUAAUCGCGGAUCAGCAUGCCGCGGUGAAUACGUUCCCGGGCCUUGUACACACCGCCCGU